CUGCUCCCUUUGGCAGCACAUAUACUCAAAACUGUAAUGUUACAGCAUGGCCCCUGCACAAGGAUGCCACGCAAAUUCAUGAAGUGUUCCUACUUUUA
Myotis brandtii (Brandt's bat) is the source of this 98-nucleotide non-coding RNA. NCBI's taxonomy places the organism in Eukaryota, Metazoa, Chordata, Mammalia, Chiroptera, Vespertilionidae. The record is from Rfam.